This 458-nucleotide ribosomal RNA is filed under the name uncultured soil bacterium. RNAcentral's name for it is "bacterial SSU rRNA". It matches the Rfam family "Bacterial small subunit ribosomal RNA", at positions 923 to 1379 of the family's 1533-position model. The record is from RNAcentral.
GCACAAGCGGUGGAGCAUGUGGAUUAAUUCGAUGCAACGCGAAGAACCUUACCAGCCCUUGACAUGUGACUCGCCGGCUCCAGAGACGGAGCCUUCGGUUCGGCCGGAGUCAACACAGGUGCUGCAUGGCUGUCGUCAGCUCGUGUCGUGAGAUGUUGGGUUAAGUCCCGCAACGAGCGCAACCCUCGCCCUUAGUUGCCAUCAUUUGGUUGGGCACUCUAAGGGGACUGCCGGUGAUAAGCCGAGAGGAAGGUGGGGAUGACGUCAAGUCCUCAUGGCCCUUACGGGCUGGGCUACACACGUGCUACAAUGGCGGUGACAAUGGGAUGCGAUGGCGCGAGCCGGAGCCGAUCCUAAAAAACCGUCUCAGUUCGGAUUGCACUCUGCAACUCGAGUGCAUGAAGUUGGAAUCGCUAGUAAUCGAGGAUCAGCAUGCCUCGGUGAAUACGUUCCCGGGC